Syzygium oleosum is the source of this 592-nucleotide RNA transcript. RefSeq lists it as uncharacterized. The transcript has 3 exons. The record is from RefSeq and is a predicted model, not a curated record. Lineage: Eukaryota; Viridiplantae; Streptophyta; Magnoliopsida; Myrtales; Myrtaceae.
AGAGGAAGUGGUGGCCGAGGCAGAUGAACUGAUCAAGGCAGAUGAAUGCAUUGAUCACUCUUUCGCAUCAGGAUCAAGAAACUGGUCAUGGGAUUACCGGGGACCAGCACUAGCAUCGCUGCCAUAGGUAUCUCGCCAUCCCCAGUCUCCGUUGCUGUUAACGGUACAAGGUCAGGAUGGACGCGAAUGGGUGUUAUCCAAGAAGUUGAGAUGACUAGUGAGGAAUACAAUGAAUCAGAAGAUAGAGAUGAUGGCCCCGCAAAAGUUGCAGAUACGGAUCAUAAGGUCAACAGAAGCAAAGCCGAUAGCUCCGACUUCAGACCAGCUCCGACUAAUAUCAAGGAUCGCGUGAAGAUCACUGUCCAACCUCAAAGUCCGGUAUCAGCUGCUAAUUAAAUCCUGAUGAGUUCAAACUCGGAUGUGUCAUUCACCGAGGCAGAGCUGAGGAAAUCAGAGGAAUUGAUGACUGGAGCUUUUACGGAAUCCUACCAAAAUCUUCAACUUCUAAAAUGCUACUGGUUGCUUUACUGGAUGCACAUUGACUCUUAUGGCGGGAUUAAAGUGGCUGUACAUGCAAGAGAUCUCCUAAAAA